RNAcentral lists this ribosomal RNA (250 nucleotides) under uncultured prokaryote. RNAcentral describes it as "partial 16S ribosomal RNA". It matches the Rfam family "Bacterial small subunit ribosomal RNA", at positions 524 to 774 of the family's 1533-position model. The record is from RNAcentral.
UACGUAGGUGGCGAGCGUUAUCCGGAAUUAUUGGGCGUAAAGGGUGCGUAGGCGGCCUGUUAAGUUUAAGGUGAAAGCGUGGGGCUCAACCCCAUAUAGCCUUAGAUACUGGCAGGCUAGAGUACUGGAGAGGAAAGUGGAAUUCCAUGUGUAGCGGUAAAAUGCGUAGAGGUAUGGAGGAACACCGGCGGCGGAGGCGGCUCUCUAGACAGUAACUGACGCUGAGGCACGAAAGCGUGGGGAGCAAAUA